AGAGAGGCUUAGUCGCGCGACUUGGUGAAGUGACCCCGCUUUCACACUAACCCCUCCGUUCGAUUUCGACUUUCGAGGGAAAUUGUGGAAGACUUCAGAUUAGGCUUUCCAAAUCACAUGACCGCCGACCCCACCCUUUUUGGGUCCGUUUUGUUUUCUGAAGCUAUUGCCUAUAAAUACGGCAUCUGCUCUUUUGUUUUUCUGCAGCGGAAGAAAGUGGUUCUCUCUCUCUCUCUCUCUCCCUGGAAGACGAGUAUAAGUAGGUGUAGAAGCGAGAUCUCUCUCAGUCUCCGCCGUUGUAUUUGAAGAGCACUACAAAACCUCUGCCAACAGAAAGAGAUGACUCAAGUGAGCGGAGAAACCGAUUCAGACAAAUCUCUACAAAAUGUCUUUUAAACAGGUAAUCACGCCACGGGAUCAGCCAUGUCAGUAAUGACACAGAGAAAGGACAAGAGCGCUGGACUGCGGCGCCGCAGGGCGAAGAGAAGGAGCCUUGUGGCUACAUUGGAGAAGCUGAGUGCAAUGACGUCAAAGAAGAGAGCAAAACUGGAACGCAUGAAGAAGAGGCUGAACAAAAUGAAAGCCCAAGUGGAAGAGAUGGGCGCCAUAAUGCUUAAGCAGAACAAGUUGGUGAUUGAGCAGAAUGUUGACAUCCAACUCUCCGUUGAUUUCAUGGUGCAUGCCUUCUUAGCUGGCUGCAAUGGUGGAGGCUGAUCACUGUCCCCAAACCCUAGCCUAUGCCUAUGUGUCCUUUUGGUGUGGAAUUUACUGUUUCUUUGAUUCUUGUGGAAGGAAGCUGAUGGCUGUUGGUUUCCGCAAAUCCUAGCCUAUGUGGUAGACAAUGAUUGAAGUUUGGUUGCCUUACAGUGGACUGCUGAAUAGGCUCUGGCUCCAUAUGAGAUUUUCCAUCCCUUAUAUUCCAUAAAGGUUGUCCAGUGGAAUGUGAUUUGAACUUCGAGACAAGUCGUACCUCAGAGUUUUUUUGGCUACGAAUGACUGCCGGUGCAUCUUGGAUUUAAAAUGAUAACUAAUGUUUGGCAGAACUUAUGAGCAGUAGAAAAUGCAUAUCCAACUUGGUGGUCAUGUAUGAGACAAUCUGGGUAGUUUAGCUGGCUGCAAGGUUCAUCUCCAUAUUCUGAAAGAAAUUCAGUUUGCGGAAGUUGAUACACAAGGUUAUGUCAGCAUUUGCAGACGUUGUAGAUGUUAAGGUAAAUGUAUAACCUGCAGACUGUAGUAUGUACUUACUGUUGAUCUGUUAAUCUACCGCCACUUAAUAAAUUAUUCGUUUUUUUA
Tripterygium wilfordii is the source of this 1293-nucleotide RNA transcript. RefSeq lists it as uncharacterized. The transcript has 5 exons. NCBI's taxonomy places the organism in Eukaryota, Viridiplantae, Streptophyta, Magnoliopsida, Celastrales, Celastraceae. The record is from RefSeq and is a predicted model, not a curated record.